UACGUAGGGGGCAAGCGUUAUCCGGAAUUACUGGGUGUAAAGGGAGCGUAGGCGGCAUGGUAAGCCAGAUGUGAAAGCCUUGGGCUUAACCCGAGGAUUGCAUUUGGAACUAUCAAGCUAGAGUACAGGAGAGGAAAGCGGAAUUCCUAGUGUAGCGGUGAAAUGCGUAGAUAUUAGGAAGAACACCAGUGGCGAAGGCGGCUUUCUGGACUGAAACUGACGCUGAGGCUCGAAGGCGUGGGGAGCGAACAGG
RNAcentral lists this ribosomal RNA (253 nucleotides) under uncultured bacterium. Its description in RNAcentral is "partial 16S ribosomal RNA". It matches the Rfam family "Bacterial small subunit ribosomal RNA", at positions 524 to 776 of the family's 1533-position model. The record is from RNAcentral.